RNAcentral lists this ribosomal RNA (253 nucleotides) under uncultured bacterium. RNAcentral's name for it is "partial 16S ribosomal RNA". It matches the Rfam family "Bacterial small subunit ribosomal RNA", at positions 524 to 776 of the family's 1533-position model. The record is from RNAcentral.
UACGUAGGGUGCGAGCGUUGUCCGGAAUUAUUGGGCGUAAAGAGCGUGUAGGCGGCCUUACAGGUCAGCUGUGAAAACUCGAGGCUCAACCUCGAGACGUCGGUUGAAACCGUAAGGCUAGAGUCCGGAAGAGGAGAGUGGAAUUCCCGGUGUAGCGGUGAAAUGCGCAGAUAUCGGGAAGAACACCCGUGGCGAAGGCGGCUCUCUGGGACGGUACUGACGCUGAGACGCGAAAGCGUGGGGAGCGAACAGG